This 253-nucleotide ribosomal RNA is filed under the name uncultured bacterium. Its description in RNAcentral is "partial 16S ribosomal RNA". It matches the Rfam family "Bacterial small subunit ribosomal RNA", at positions 524 to 776 of the family's 1533-position model. The record is from RNAcentral.
UACGUAGGGGGCAAGCGUUGUCCGGAUUUAUUGGGCGUAAAGAGCGUGUAGGCGGCCAGGUAGGUCCGUUGUGAAAACUCGAGGCUCAACCUCGAGACGCCGGUGGAAACCAUCUAGCUAGAGUCCGGAAGAGGAGAGUGGAAUUCCUGGUGUAGCGGUGAAAUGCGCAGAUAUCAGGAAGAACACCCGUGGCGAAGGCGGCUCUCUGGUACGUGACUGACGCUGAGACGCGAAAGCGUGGGGAGCGAACAGG